GGAUUGUGGCUCAGUGGAAGAGCGCUCACCUAGCAUGCGCAGGACCCGGGUUCAAUCCUCGGCACCA
This 67-nucleotide transfer RNA is filed under the name Marmota monax (woodchuck). RNAcentral describes it as "tRNA.Ala". Lineage: Eukaryota; Metazoa; Chordata; Mammalia; Rodentia; Sciuridae. The record is from RNAcentral.